RNAcentral lists this ribosomal RNA (329 nucleotides) under uncultured eukaryote. RNAcentral's name for it is "partial 18S ribosomal RNA". It matches the Rfam family "Eukaryotic small subunit ribosomal RNA", at positions 1470 to 1796 of the family's 1831-position model. The record is from RNAcentral.
CCCUUAGAUGUUCUGGGCCGCACGCGCGCUACACUGACGGAGGCAGCGAGCGUGUCCUUCGCCGGCAGGUGCGGGCAAUCUUGCGAGUCUCCGUCGUGCUGGGGAUAGAUGGUUGCAAUUGUCGAUCUUGAACGAGGAAUUCCUAGUAAGCGCGAGUCAUCAGCUCGCGCUGAUUACGUCCCUGCCCUUUGUACACACCGCCCGUCGCUACUACAGAGUGCCCGUGUCCAAGAAACGGUCGGACCUGUGCGGCCUCUCCGGGCGACCGGAGGGCCGUUACGGGGAAGCCCCUUUAUUUGACGCGGGUCGAUGAAGUAAAAGUCGUAACA